RNAcentral lists this ribosomal RNA (401 nucleotides) under uncultured bacterium. RNAcentral's name for it is "bacterial SSU rRNA". It matches the Rfam family "Bacterial small subunit ribosomal RNA", at positions 29 to 416 of the family's 1533-position model. The record is from RNAcentral.
AACGAACGCUGGCGGUAUGCCUAACACAUGCAAGUCGCACGAGAAAGUACUUCGGUAUGAGUAGAGUGGCGCACGGGUGAGUAACACGUAGGUGACCUUCCGAAUAGUGGGGGAUAACUCGGAGAAAUCCGGGCUAAUACCGCAUAUGUACGACAAAUCUGAGAGUAGUCGUAGAAAGAAUGCCUCUACUUGUAAGCAUUCGCUAAUCGAUGGGCCUGCGGAGCAUUAGCUAGUUGGUGGGGUAAUGGCCUACCAAGGCUACGAUGCUUAACGGAUCUGAGAGGAUGAUCCGUCACACUGGAACUGAGACACGGUCCAGACUCCUACGGGAGGCAGCAGUGGGGAAUAUUGCGCAAUGGACGCAAGUCUGACGCAGCAAUACCGCGUGAGUGAGGAAGGCC